CAGCGGGAGGCGGCGCAGGCCGCGGCGGGGCCUGCAGCGGCCCGCCGACCCCGCGAGGCGGCGGAGCGGGCCCCGGGGCGGCUCAGCCUCGGGCUCGGCGGCCCGGGGCGGCCGGGGGCGGCCCCUCGGCUACUUACCGGGGGGAAAGAGAGCCGGGAUCCCGGGGCCCCGGGCCGGACCGCGGAGAUGCCCCAAACUGACACGGCCGCCAUCUUGGAGACAGCACCUGAUUGGUGGAACCUGAAGUAUACCAGACCGCAAGCUGCAAGGGAGUCUGAGGACCACCCUUUUUAGCCUCUCUGUAUUUGCAGUACAAGAAGGCAUCCUAGAAGGAGGUUGAGGUAAGUAUUGAAAGACAAACUACCGUAUCUGCCACAGCACGUGAACUUUUUGUUCAGGCAAGAUGAGAAUGUUAAUCUACUCGAGUGGAAGUGUUUUAUAGUUACUCUGAAAAAAAAAUGGGGCCAGAACACUCCACUCCACCAGCGUCCAUUAUCAUGAAGAACAUAGAUUCUGGCACAUGGUAUUUUGUCACUCAUUGUUUUAAUCAGUCAUGUGAACAUUAACAAUACUCUCCUGCAAUUUCGUUUUCCCCGUGGAAAGUGUCUCCCUGAGAAGCUGCGAGCUCUUCAAGGGUAGACUGUGUAUUCCCAAAAUGCUUGAACAUAGUUAUAAGUAUACAGUGGAGGUUGGGUAAGAAUUAUUAAGCAUUUUUAAAAAGUAAGUUUAACUAAUCAUCAGAAGUAGUCAGGAAUAUUUAUACCCACUUCUCUUUAGCCAGGAUCUAAGAGUCUUUUCCUAUCUCAAGAUCAUUUCCUAAUUCCAUAAUUUAGAAAUGUUGUGGGACCUUUAAUAUACCAGUUGUUGGCAUUGAAUCUGGACUGGGAAAUAUAUUGAGGGUUAAGAGUUUAAGAAUUUUAAAAAAUUCAUCUUAAAUAUGUACCACUAUUACUCUAUUUCCACCAUGGUGGGGGUGGGGCCAGAAUUACCCUUCUAACUGAAAAAACACCCAGCAACAGAAACAGACAAAAUAUACGAAACAUUGGUUUUCAAGGCCCUGGACAUUAGGCAACGGGCAGUGCUCCCUGUGAGAGAGGAAACAAAUGAGGCGACCACUGCCCUGCCUCGGGUCCCUGCCUGAGUGAGCUCCCGGUAGGGCCGGGCACAGGGAGGAGGAGCUGAGAGAGAGCCCAGGGCAUUCCCUGGGUCGAAGACGGUGCUGAAACUUGAGGAAGACCAAGGCGAGUAGCGCUCUCAGGACAGAGUACCAAAGAGGAGAGAGCUACACAGAGAGAGAACGCCAGAGGUCUGCAAAGGGUCCUCCUUGAGUCUUCAGCUGAGUACCUACAGCUCAGGUAUGAGAGGAAACUCUUUGAGGUUGGGAAAGAGCCAUCCAAAAGAGUGAAAGGUGACAGUGCCCAGGGCUCACACAGGACCUGGACUAGUGUCUAUUUCCACCGGCCAGAGCAGAACCCUACUGAGUCCCAGGCACUGGGUGAUCAGAGAGGUGUGGCCUCAGCAGUAGUGAAUAAUUAGCCCUAGACUGAGCACUGCUCCAGACCCUCCUAACAAAUCGUAACAGCAAGACGCAAAGGAUCAAACUGCUUCCAACCAACCUAACUGCGUCCCAGAACAAGGCUCAAGAAUAUUUAUAGGGGGGCUGGCCCGGUGGCAGAGUGGUUAAGUCCUCGCGCUCCGCUGCAGGCGGCCCAGUGUUUCGUUGGUUCGAAUCCUGGGCGCGGACGUGGUACUGCUCAUCAAACCACGCUGAGGCAGCGUCCCACAUGCCACAACUAGAAGGACCCACAGCGAAGAAUAUACAACUAUGUACCAGGGGGCUUUGGGGAGAAAAAGGAAAAGAUAAAAAUCUUCAUUAAAAAAAAGGAAUAUUUAUAGGAAAACAAAAAUAUCCAGCACCCAAGAAGGCAAAAUUCACAAUGUCAGACAUUCAGUAAAAAAAUUACCAGUCAUGCAAUGAAGAAAGAAAAUGUGACCCAUAAUAAGGAGAUAAAUAAAUCAAAACUGAUGCAGAACUGACAGAGAUGCCAGAAUCAACAGACAAGGACGUUAAAACAAUUAUUAUAACUGUACUCCAGAUGUUCAAAAAGUGAAGUAGAGACUUUUAUUGGCCUUCUUUCCUUCCUUCCCUCCUGAAUAAUUCAGUCCAAAGCCAUCAGUGGGGCCAAGCAGGGUCAGUACCUGUGAAGGGGCCUGGAGCUGAGGCUGGGGCAUGGUGGUGUCAGAGCCCUGGCGGGGUUAGAAGGACAUUUGCAUGGUGGGGUAUCAGUAAUGGGAGAUUGGUUACACACCUGGGGUUGACUCAGAACAUAAACAUAUUGAGGAAAAUGGGAAUCAGCUUUCUCAUUAUCGGAAAAGGGAGUUACAAAAUGGGAAGGGAGAAAAUUGGAUGAAUUAGAGGCAGUGGUGAGAACUCAGGUUUUCAACAAAUAGAGAUGGGUAACAAAAUGAACGUAGAUGUGGAUGUGGACACAUACGUAUCUACAGAUAGACAUUCCCUGGCUCUGUCCACCGAGAGGGUCUGGGAGCAGCCUCACCCCAACAUCAUGGAGACACUUCUGAUUAGAGGUCAAAGGAAAGGUAUGUCCAUAGAGGAGAAACCUCAGAUCCAUCUUCAAAGAAUGUCUUUAGUCUUUACAAGUCAUAAGGACAAAUCAAGCACGUCAAUGAACACUGAAUUUCUACACUCAAAACUUUAUUUUAUAGACCUUAACUUAUUUACAACAUACAAAAAUGAUAGAAAAAUAAAAGUGUGGCUUUGGGUUAAUCCUGGGAUCCAAUUUCAACUCUAACAUUUACUAAUUUUGUGACCCUGGAGAAUCAUUUCAUCUCUCAGAUCCUCAAUUUUCUCAAAUGUAAAAUGAAUAUACCUACCUUUUAGUGUUCUGUGUUAUUAAUCAGAUCAUGCACAUCCCACAGCGCCUGGCAUAAAAUAAAUGCUCAGCAAAGCAUAGCCAUUAGCACAUUUGUGUGUGGUGUAAGUUGGGCAGGUUUUUACUAUUUUGGUUUAACAGGAAAAGAAAGACAUGGGGCAGCAAAGACACAUCAGAGCAGAAAAUAUCAAUUAAUUCAGACAACAAAUGACUUUUAAGUAGGAACUGGACAUGCCCAGAGGGAGGAAGGCAUUCCAGAGAGCUGGGAGGGGAGGAGUAAACUCCCAGGUAGGCAACAGCAGGGGGUGCAUAGGCAGCAUCACUGCCAGGGCUGCCCGGAGCACAGGAGCCAGAAGGAGGUGCGUGGGAAGUGAGGCUGUCAAGAUGAUUUGCUCCAGAUUGUGUAGAGUUUCAAUACAAAGCUAUACUAAGUUUUAUUCUGUAGCAUCAACUCUUGUGUUUAUGAUUUAUAGCCCAUUAGCCCGUACUGUGUCUACAUAUCUCUUAAUCAAGAUUCACCUCUGAUUUAGAGGAGUUACUCAUUAGACGGUGUCCUAGCCAGGAGGCCUCUGCCUGCCCUGGGUUUCUCAGGUGAGCGCUGCUUUUCACUGUUGCUUGAUGAGGAGUAUUUAAGAGUGAGGAGCUAUUGCUAACGUGAAUAAAAGUUUGCUCCCUCAGUUUCCCCAGAGGGUUUCCCCAGAGCGUUUCCCCAGUAGUCCUCAGCAGGGAAGAUCCCGGGGGGCAGCUCCUACAUGGAACUGACACACACGUCUAAAGCACGUGAGAGGAAUGCAGAUUCAGGAAACAACACAUAUCAGGAAAAAUAUGUGGUUUCAAAAAGGUUAAACCUGGAAUUAUUUAAUGAUAAAAAUAUUGAAGUCAGUAACCUCCCUCCCAUUCAAACAACUAAGCAAAUAAAGGACUAUUGUAAAGAGAAUGCAUAUGUCUUGACCAAAAUCUCAGAGAUCUGAGAUUUUGACAGAACUGUGUCCGUGAUGUCGCCUAUGCAGUAGGACUUGAAGGAUACUGCAGGUCCAAGGGCUCCACACUUAAAACUAGCUUCAAUGUUCCCCAUGAGAGACAGGGCUUGUUCCUUCUCCCAGAAGGGUAGGGUGGAGCUGGGCACUGUUUCUCCAUCAGUGUGUCCCGGCACUUGGUUUUCAGGGCUAUUUAUGAUAUCCUACCAUCUUGGGUCUCUAUACUCCACCACUUGGCAAAAUUCUGCACAGGAGGAAGAAGCAGAGGUUGUGGUAACUGUUGUGAGAAAGGAGAAUGGACAGAUUUAACUAGAAAAAAAGUCUGGGUGGAAGAUGUAGAGACUGGACUCAAUGACUGAGAAAAGCAAUGAAAUCACCUUUCCUAGAAACAGCUGAAAAAUACAAUAAACGCUCAUUUGUAAAAGUUAAUGAGUUUGUUAAAAUGAGUUAAUUAAUGCUACGGUAGGCACUAGGGAUAUGGGAAAUAAAACCAAGGGCCUGCCCUCCAGGAGCUCACGGUUCCACAGGAAGGCAGACACACACACAAAGAACUCCCAUGUCCCCACAUCGCAGGGAGGGCCUCUAGCAGAGGUUUAGGGGUGGGGCUGGGGAGGACGAAGCGUCCAACUUCCAGAAGAAGUGAAGGAGAGCCUGAGACCAUGGAGCAGCUGGACCCGGACUGGGAAGAUAAGCCAGGAUCCACCAGCAAUACAACCCUUCACGGUGGGUGACGCAGAGUCGGGGGCUGUGCAAGGAGUUGGGGUCAUCUCAGCCUUGGGGACAACGUUGACAAGUUUGGGUUUACAGAUGUGUGUACACACAUUGAGAAAAAGCUAGAAGGAUAUACACCUAUAACAUGGUACCCCAGUAAAUGUCCACUGGAUUGCUAUCUUCAUAACUAGUAGGCAUGACCCCUAACCAGUCUUCCUGGGCUCAAGCCCCAGCUAUGAGACUUACCAGCUGUGAGCCCUUGGGCAAGUUACUUAACCUCUCUGUGCCUCAAUUUUCUCAUCUGUGAAAAGAAGGUAGAGUAACACCUAUCUGACAGGAUUGUUGUGAAUUAAAGGAACCAAUAUCUAAAAAGUGCUUAGACUACUGCAUGGCACACAGAAAACACAAUAUAAGUGUUUGCGGUUAUCUAUCAACUGGGGAAGUUUUUGUGGGUUUUUUUCCUGAAAGAAGAAGAUUCUUUUGCUGUAAUUAUUGGGGCUUCACCUCCUGUUUGUUUGUGUUCUGGGUGCCUGAGUGCCCAAAGGAGCUUAGAGAAUGAAGGAAACGAGGGAGUGACAUGGUAUCUGUCCCUUCUUGCCAAGCUUGGAGACUCUGAACACAAGCAAUGCCUCUUCAGGACCCAGUGACCCAGUCACCCCGGAGGAUGGGGGCUCUGAAUUCCAACAUUUGGCACCAUUUGUCCUGCUGAACUGCACCCAUUCGCGAGCAAGGUCACAGAUGAGUUUGCUGCAACUCUCUCCACUCUACUGGCAGCACGACGGCAAAGUGAUUCCCGAGGCCCCUGGCCCCAGACCUCAGCCGGGAUUUGUGGAGUGACUGGUUCUUCCUUCCUCCAGCAUUGUUGUUUUGAGUCUCUGUUCAUCUGCCUGCUCAGGCCCAGGGGGGAGCCGAGCGUAUUAUUAACUGAGUGUCAGGCUGUGUGUGUCUGAGCGGCGGUGAGCGCACGUGUCCUACGCCGAUUUCUGGUGCGCGCAGGCGGGGGAGGAAGCAAUUCCAAGCGCAAGUGGCGGCUUGUCCCUUUCGCAGAGUGUGUUGCGCCGAGGUGGCGUUGCGAUCCGUGGUAUGUAGUGCUGGCCUGAAACUCCUGACGACACCGUCCCAAACGUGGUCCACAGUCCUCCCCCGAACGAAGGGAGGUGUUUAAAGGUGUCUCUGAGAAACAGGCGCAACCCAGGCAGCCCGGCUCCAGAACAAUGGGUCCUUUCAGCCGCCCCCUUUAGAUGUAUGGCUCGUCACCAUGACAACCACCCCAUUAUUGAAAGUCAGAGCCGGUCCCUGCCGCAGACGCUCUGCUCCCGGGCGCCCCUCCCCCGCCGGCCCGCCGUAUGGUGUGUGUGGCACUGGCAGCUGUUGUCAAAAGAAGGCACUUCUUUGUCUCCAGGGGAUGAAAGACAUUUGGUUUUCAUCGCCACCCUUUCUCUCCUCCCGACAACUUUUCUCCGCGCACGGCGCCCUGUCCCCAGAAGUGCCCCCUGGAUGCUGGAGCCCGGCGCCGAGUCCCCGCCGUAACUUUGGUAUAAAUUUCCUCUCGGAUUCGCUCUUCUCAGAGCGUUUCUGCCUGUCCCUCAAACUCCUCGAUCCACUAGAAGUCUCACUUUCAACUGUAGUGUCCAAACGAGGGGAAUUCACUUUAGAAAUCCAGGUUUCUCUUUUCAGCUCUGUUCUCGGAGUUCUCGUGCGAGCCUGUGCCCCUCAGACCCAACAGCACCACCUUCCGUAGCGACGAGCUUAUUACCGAGGCUGUCCCCCGGGCGCGCCCAGCUCGGCCACGCCGGUCCCCAGGACGGGGACGAGUGGUCAACUGUCUUAGGGAUCUCGCACUCCAACAGCUGGAUACCUUCUGGCUGAAGAAAAGGGGACACAAUUAUGUAAACAGUAUGACCUGUAUUUCUCUCAGACUUUAAAAGUAUUAUUAAAAUAUUUUUAAAGUUUUGUGUUACAUUUAGUGAAUACCUAGAUAUGAUUUACCUUGUUUUGUCUGUGGAGGAACUUUAUAAAAAUUAAAUUGAAAAACGAGAAAAAGUCUUUGGCUGACCGUAUGUCUGGGAUUUGGUGUUCAAAGAAUAUUGCCCCUCAAACUAUCAUCUGCACCAGGGAUCCUAAAAGUGGAACAGAUGGUGUUUUCGAGACCUGUCUGGAAAUAAAAAAGGUCACAGCGGUGAGCGAAAAAGCAGGAUCAAGGAAGAGGAGAGAUGCCAGGACAGAGAAAUGCAGGAACUUGUACCCACCAGUGUGGAGGGAAGGAGCAAAACUGGCUAGAUUGAGGUACUGUGGAGAUGAACUCGUGCUUUAUGAUUCCGUGGGGGGGAAAGAUAAUCAGAAUAUUCGUAAAAUUUUAUCUAAUACUCAGAAGGGUAGAGACUAGAGGAAGAAAUUUGGGGAUAAGUGUUUCAGAUCUCACUGAGUCUUUCUACUGCUAUUUUUUGGAAUAAAUUAAAAUUUGAAAGGACAUUUUAAAAACUUUGGGAAUGUUGACAGUAUGACAAGUGAAUGGGAAAGGAAGUUCAGCAGGUGACUGAUAAGAAGGCCAUUUUUCUGGUCUUUGAAUUACCAAUUACCAACAAUUACUCUCAGUAAACAGGGAAGCAGCCAAGUCAGGCACACAGAAAACCAGUAUUUGCAGAGCGAACGAAGGUUUGGGGUUUUUUCCCCUGAGAAUAAUUUUUAUCUAAAUAACUAUCUAGAAAAUAAUAAGUAUGUUACUCUGAAAACUUUUCUUUACAAUCCAAGCUCCUUUCUUCCCGAAUACUACUGAAUACAUUUUGGAGGAAGUUCUGUCAACUUUUCUGUGAGAUUUGAUGAAUAUUUCCCCAGUGAUUUCAAACGAGAGUCACAAUGGAGUGUCACAAUUGAAAUUCUAGUUAUUUAACUUAAUGGGUUUUUUAAGUGUUUAAGAUUGUUAUUAACAAGUAAAAGCAAUUUUCCGUCUCUGACAGGAGUACUGGUCGUCAUAUAUAUACAUUGUUUUAUUUUAUUAAAGUUGCACGUGGAACCAGGUAGUGUGUUCUGUGGAGCUCAGGGGCCACCGUGGGGAUUAAGACUGAGGUCAAGUGGACAGAGCUCCAGGACUCUGAUCCCUGUGUCAGCCAGAGCAACUCUGUGCUAUGUGUUUUCAGUGCAAACUUUCAUUUGUCUAAAAGAUUUCACUGCUAAAAAGGAAAAAAAAACAUUAAGCGCACUGUUAGAAG
Molecule: long non-coding RNA, 7788 nt
Organism: Equus asinus (donkey)
Lineage: Eukaryota; Metazoa; Chordata; Mammalia; Perissodactyla; Equidae
Source: Ensembl